GUCGUGAUCCCCUAAUGGUUAGGACAUUGCGUUGUGGCCUCAAUAACCCAGGUUCGAAUCCUGGUCAUGGCA
This 72-nucleotide transfer RNA is filed under the name Cordylochernes scorpioides. Its description in RNAcentral is "tRNA-His". It matches the Rfam family "tRNA". From Rfam's summary of the family: Transfer RNA (tRNA) molecules are approximately 80 nucleotides in length. Their secondary structure includes four short double-helical elements and three loops (D, anti-codon, and T loops). Further hydrogen bonds mediate the characteristic L-shaped molecular structure. tRNAs have two regions of fundamental functional importance: the anti-codon, which is responsible for specific mRNA codon recognition, and the 3' end, to which the tRNAs corresponding amino acid is attached (by aminoacyl-tRNA synthetases). tRNAs cope with the degeneracy of the genetic code in two manners: having more than one tRNA (with a specific anti-codon) for a particular amino acid; and 'wobble' base-pairing, i.e. permitting non-standard base-pairing at the 3rd anti-codon position. The record is from RNAcentral. Lineage: Eukaryota; Metazoa; Arthropoda; Arachnida; Pseudoscorpiones; Chernetidae.